ACAGUGUUCCUGGAGUCUCGCUGCCCAGAUGCCACGGAAUCAGUUGAAGGACGUGGCAGCUGGUUGGACGAGGGGAGCUGGUGGGCAGGGUUUGAUCCCAGGGCCUGGGCAACGGAGGUGUAGCUGGCAGCAGCGGGCAGGUGAGGACCCCAUCUGCCGGGCAGGUGAGUCCCUUCCCUCCCCAGGCCUCGCUUCCCCAGCCUUCUGAAAGAAGGAGGUUUAGGGGAUCGAGGGCUGGCGGGGAGAAGCAGACACCCUCCCAGCAGAGGGGCAGGAUGGGGGCAGGAGAGUUAGCAAAGGUGACAUCUUCUCGGGGGGAGCCGAGACUGCGCAAGGCUGGGGGGUUAUGGGCCCGUUCCAGGCAGAAAGAGCAAGAGGGCAGGGAGGGAGCACAGGGGUGGCCAGCGUAGGGUCCAGCACGUGGGGUGGUACCCCAGGCCUGGGUCAGACAGGGACAUGGCAGGGGACACAGGACAGAGGGGUCCCCAGCUGCCACCUCACCCACCGCAAUUCAUUUAGUAGCAGGCACAGGGGCAGCUCCGGCACGGCUUUCUCAGGCCUAUGCCGGAGCCUCGAGGGCUGGAGAGCGGGAAGACAGGCAGUGCUCGGGGAGUUGCAGCAGGACGUCACCAGGAGGGCGAAGCGGCCACGGGAGGGGGGCCCCGGGACAUUGCGCAGCAAGGAGGCUGCAGGGGCUCGGCCUGCGGGCGCCGGUCCCACGAGGCACUGCGGCCCAGGGUCUGGUGCGGAGAGGGCCCACAGUGGACUUGGUGACGCUGUAUGCCCUCACCGCUCAGCCCCUGGGGCUGGCUUGGCAGACAGUACAGCAUCCAGGGGAGUCAAGGGCAUGGGGCGAGACCAGACUAGGCGAGGCGGGCGGGGCGGAGUGAAUGAGCUCUCAGGAGGGAGGAUGGUGCAGGCAGGGGUGAGGAGCGCAGCGGGCGGCGAGCGGGAGGCACUGGCCUCCAGAGCCCGUGGCCAAGGCGGGCCUCGCGGGCGGCGACGGAGCCGGGAUCGGUGCCUCAGCGUUCGGGCUGGAGACGAGGGUGAGUUUUUCCCCCUCUGCCACCCUCAGCCCCCACCCGCCCCUCCCCACACAACCAACACGUUCUCCCCACACGACUCUCUCGUUCUCCCCACAGCCAGGUCUCCAGCUGGGGUGGACGUGCCCACCAGCUGCCGAAGGCCAAGACGCCAGGUCCGGUGGACGUGACAAGCAGGACAUGACAUGGUCCGGUGUGACGGCGAGGACAGAGGAGGCGCGUCCGGCCUUCCUGAACACCUUAGGCUGGUGGGGCUGCGGCAAGAAGCGGGUCUGUUUCUUUACUUCCUCCACGGAGUCGGCACACUAUGGCUGCCCUCUGGGCUCCCAGAACCCACAACAUGAAAGGUGAGGGGCUUCCUGCCACACUUGGGGUGGGGGGCACGCGAGAGGAGCUGAGUGGGACCUCACUCCUUCCCCAUCCACAGAAAUGGUGCUACCCAGCUCAAGCCUGGGCCUUUGAAUCCGGACACAAAACCCUCUAGCUUGGAAAUGAAUAUGCUGCACUUUACAACCACUGCACUACCUGACUCAGGAAUCGGCUCUGGAAGGUGAAGCUAGAGGAACCAGACCUCAUCAGCCCAACAUCAAAGACACCAUCGGAACAGCAGCGCCCGCAGCACCCACCCCGCACCGGCGACUCCAUCUUCAUGGCCACCCCCUGCGGCGGACGGUUGACCACCAGCCACCACAUCAUCCCAGAGCUGAGCUCCUCCAGCGGGAUGACGCCGUCCCCACCACCUCCCUCUUCUUCUUUUUCAUCCUUCUGUCUCUUUGUUUCUGAGCUUUCCUGUCUUUCCUUUUUUCUGAGAGAUUCAAAGCCUCCACGACUCUGUUUCCCCCGUCCCUUCUGAAUUUAAUUUGCACUAAGUCAUUUGCACUGGUUGGAGUUGUGGAGACGGCCUUGAGUCUCAGUACGAGUGUGCGUGAGUGUGAGCCACCUUGGCAAGUGCCUGUGCAGGGCCCGGCCGCCCUCCAUCUGGGCCGGGUGACUGGGCGCCGGCUGUGUGCCCGAGGCCUCACCCUGCCCUCGCCUAGUCUGGAAGCUCCGACCGACAUCACGGAGCAGCCUUCAAGCAUUCCAUUACGCCCCAUCUCGCUCUGUGCCCCUCCCCACCAGGGCUUCAGCAGGAGCCCUGGACUCAUCAUCAAUAAACACUGUUACAGCAA
Long non-coding RNA from Homo sapiens (human), 2212 nucleotides. Ensembl annotates it as H19 imprinted maternally expressed transcript. Its record names the gene H19. Lineage: Eukaryota; Metazoa; Chordata; Mammalia; Primates; Hominidae. The record is from Ensembl.